GAUGAACGCUGGCGGCGUGCCUAAUACAUGCAAGUCGAGCGAACAGACGAGGCGCUUGCUCCUCUGACGUUAGCGGCGGACGGGUGAGUAACAUGUGGAUAACCUACCUAUAAGACUGGGAUAACUUCGGGAAACCGGAGCUAAUACCGGAUAAUAUAUUGAUCCGCAUGGUUCAAUAGUGAAAGACGGUUUUGCUGUCACUUAUAGAUGGAUCCGCGCUGCAUUAGCUAGUUGGUAAGGUAACGGCUUACCACGGCAACGAUGCGUAGCCGACCUGAGAGGGUGAUCGGCCACACUGGAACUGAGACACGGACCAGACUCCUACGGGAGGCAGCAGUAGGGAAUCUUCCGCAAUGGGCGAAAGCCUGACGGAGCAACGCCGCGUGAGUGAUAGAGGUCUUCGGAGCGUAAAACUCUGUUAUUAGGUAAGAACAAAUGUGUAAGUAACUAUGCACGUCUUGACGGUACCUAAUCAGAAAGCCACGGCUAACUACGUG
Molecule: ribosomal RNA, 497 nt
Filed under: uncultured bacterium
Lineage: Bacteria
Description: partial 16S ribosomal RNA
Rfam family: Bacterial small subunit ribosomal RNA
Source: RNAcentral